GGUGAGGUGGCCGAGCCGGCUGAAGGCACUCGCCUGCUAAGCGAGUAGGGUGGCUAAAACCGCCCUCCAGGGUUCGAAUCCCUGCCUCACCGCCA
This 95-nucleotide transfer RNA is filed under the name Synergistaceae bacterium. Its description in RNAcentral is "tRNA-Ser". It matches the Rfam family "tRNA". Rfam says of the family: Transfer RNA (tRNA) molecules are approximately 80 nucleotides in length. Lineage: Bacteria; Thermotogati; Synergistota; Synergistia; Synergistales; Synergistaceae. The record is from RNAcentral.